RNAcentral lists this ribosomal RNA (378 nucleotides) under Dacryopilumnus rathbunae. RNAcentral describes it as "partial 12S ribosomal RNA". Lineage: Eukaryota; Metazoa; Arthropoda; Malacostraca; Decapoda; Dacryopilumnidae. The record is from RNAcentral.
GAUACCCUAUUAUACUUAAAAAUAAUUAGAAACCUUAGAAUACUAAUAGAUAUAUGCUUUAAAUUUAAAGAAUUUGGCGGUAAUUUAGUCUUGUCAGAGGAACCUGUUUGUUAAACCGAUAAACCGCGUAAUAUUUUUCUUACUCUUGUUGUCAGCUUAUAUACCGUCAUUAUCAGAUAAUUUUAAAAGAAAUAAUUAUUUAAAGUUGUAAUAAACAGAUAAAAUUAGAUCAAGGUGUAGCUUAUGGGUAAGCUUAAAUGGGUUACAAUAAAAUUUAUUUAUAUGGAACUUUUAAGGAAAUUUUAAAUGUGUAAAGAGGAUUUGAUUGUAUUAUAAGUUUAAUAUGCUUGGGAGAUAUAAGCUCUAAAUUAUGUACAU